AAUGAACGCUGGCGGCGUGCUUAACACAUGCAAGUCGAACGAGGCGGAGGGGGGCAACCCCUCCAGUCGAGUGGCGGACGGGUGAGUAACACGUGGGUAACCUGCCCGGAAGUGGGAACGACCUCGGGGAAACGUCGAGCUAAUACCGCAUGACAUCUUCGGGACGAAAGUCCUGACGAUCAAAGCGGGGCCGCAAGGCCUCGCGCUUCCGGAUGGGCCCGCGCCCGAUUAGCUAGUUGGCGAGGAACGGCUCACCAAGGCUUCGAUCGGUAACCGGCCUGAGAGGGCGAUCGGUCACACCGGAACUGAGACACGGUCCGGACUCCUACGGGAGGCAGCAGUGGGGAAUCUUGCGCAAUGGGCGAAAGCCUGACGCAGCAACGCCGCGUGGAGGAUGAA
This 399-nucleotide ribosomal RNA is filed under the name uncultured bacterium. Its description in RNAcentral is "bacterial SSU rRNA". It matches the Rfam family "Bacterial small subunit ribosomal RNA", at positions 29 to 412 of the family's 1533-position model. The record is from RNAcentral.